AUAGGUGAUGAAUCUAGCAGGAUCUGAGCCGUGGCGAUGAUGACGGCUGUACUCUCUGAUU
RNAcentral lists this small nucleolar RNA (61 nucleotides) under Archaeoglobus fulgidus DSM 4304. RNAcentral describes it as "Small nucleolar RNA sR2". It matches the Rfam family "Small nucleolar RNA sR2". RNAcentral also lists the same sequence under 1 other name. Lineage: Archaea; Methanobacteriati; Methanobacteriota; Archaeoglobi; Archaeoglobales; Archaeoglobaceae. The record is from Rfam by way of RNAcentral.